This is a long non-coding RNA of Oreochromis aureus, 730 nucleotides long. RefSeq lists it as uncharacterized. The transcript has 2 exons. The record is from RefSeq and is a predicted model, not a curated record. NCBI's taxonomy places the organism in Eukaryota, Metazoa, Chordata, Actinopteri, Cichliformes, Cichlidae.
ACCACAAUGACAGAGAACACCACCAGGAAGAGAAUGGAAAGCUUCAUAUUUCUAUCUUAAAGACAAAAAAAGAACACCGAUAAGAAGGAUCAUGAAGAUUCAAUUUGCCUGUUUGCUGCUGGGCCUGCUUUCUGCUGUGGAGCUCUCUGUAAGCCAGGACUUCUAUGAAAGACAUGUCAUUAGAAACAUGCAGCCAGGCCAGUGUACUGAGAAGAUCAAUCAGAGAGGAAUCGGAGUUGUAGAUGGUAAAUGUAAAACAAUAAACACAUUUAUUUUGACCAAUAAUGCAGGAGUCAAUGGCAUCUGUGCAGGUCACACUGGACGACAACAAGGUGGAAACUUUCAAGUUGUUGAAUGCCGACAUAAUGUUAACAAUGUUAACAGUGCACCUCCUAAUUGUAUAUUUUGGGGUAAACUACAUAACAACAGAAUGAUUGAUAUACAGUGUGAUCAUCAUGGAUUGCCAGUCCACUUGUAUAAUACAUCAAAUAAUGCGCAAAAUGGUUAAACUGUUCUGAAUUGUUGCUUAGUCCUUAGUUUGACGUUGACAGCCACCCUGGCUACAAUCUCAUGUUAUUGCUUGUCAUGAUUUAUUUUCUUUGCUUUAAAAAAUAAUGAAUAGUGAAAAUGCAAUAAAGCAUUUUGUCUGCACUCAGUUGUGUUACAUGGAUUUCCUGAACUCAACUUGCCUUCUUUCUACUGAAAUCAUAAAAUAAACUUAUUAACCAGC